UCCUCCACCACCAGGAGAACCAGUAGCCCCAAUUGUCCAAACACCCAAGCCUAGUUCACCUGGGGAAAGUAUGGUGCAGAUGACAGCUUAUUUGAGGUUGGAUGUUCCCAAAUUUGAGACUGGUGAUGACCCUGUUGAGUAUCUUAGAAUGGUUAAGCUGAUAACCGAUGAGUUGGGAGCUAAUGAGAGUAGAGCCAUACAGAUGGCAGGGGUUACAUUGAAAUGUGAGAAGGCAAGGGAAUG
RNAcentral lists this long non-coding RNA (243 nucleotides) under Manihot esculenta (cassava). Its description in RNAcentral is "long non-coding RNA (MESC_LNC011404)". Lineage: Eukaryota; Viridiplantae; Streptophyta; Magnoliopsida; Malpighiales; Euphorbiaceae. The record is from RNAcentral.